This 428-nucleotide ribosomal RNA is filed under the name Chloroflexota bacterium. RNAcentral describes it as "Chloroflexi bacterium partial 16S ribosomal RNA". It matches the Rfam family "Bacterial small subunit ribosomal RNA", at positions 355 to 776 of the family's 1533-position model. The record is from RNAcentral. Lineage: Bacteria; Bacillati; Chloroflexota.
UGGGGAAUAUUGCACAAUGGGCGCAAGCCUGAUGCAGCCAUGCCGCGUGUGUGAAGAACGCCUUCGGGUUGUAAAGCACUUUCAGCGGGGUGGAAGGCGAUAAGGUUAAUAACCUUGGCAAUUGACGUUACCGACAGAAGAAGCACCGGCUAACUCCGUGCCAGCAGCCGCGGUAAUACGGAGGGUGCAAGCGUUAAUCGGAAUUACUGGGCGUAAAGCGCACGCAGGCGGUUGAUUGAGUCAGAUGUGAAAUCCCCGGGCUUAACCCGGGAAUUGCAUCUGAUACUGGUCAGCUAGAGUCUUGUAGAGGGGGGUAGAAUUCCAUGUGUAGCGGUGAAAUGCGUAGAAAUGUGAGGAAUACCGGUGGCGAAGGCGGCCCCCUGGACAAAGACUGACGCUCAGGUGCGAAAGCGUGGGGAGCAAACAGG